Molecule: non-coding RNA, 465 nt
Organism: Manis javanica (Malayan pangolin)
Lineage: Eukaryota; Metazoa; Chordata; Mammalia; Pholidota; Manidae
Source: RefSeq, a predicted model, not a curated record
GGCUGGGCACCUACUCACAGGCAGUGGGAGUGUGGCGGGGGGGGAGGGGAUGGAAGAAUCAACCCCCAAGAUCCCCUCAUCCUAAACCUUGGGCCCUGUGCCCAUGUUAGGCUACAGAGCAAAGGAAAUUAGGGUGCUGAUGGGAUUCAAGUCGUGAGCUGGCCGGCCUUAAUAUCCUGCACUACCAGAUGGGCCCAGUGUGAUCCGAGUCCUUAACUGUGUUAGAGGAAAGCAGAGGAGUCAGUCAGAGGAAGACAAGCCCCAAAAGAUGCAACAUUCUUGACUCCGGACGUGGAGGAAGGAGCCACAGCCCAAGGUGGCCUCCUGAAACUGGAACAGAGCGAUGUCAGAAAUCCAUCCUGAGUUCAUGAAGUUUUGCCUCUCCGAAAAAGCAAAGGACAGCUGUGAAGGUUAAAUAAGAUAAUACCUGCAAAGCACACUGCACAACAGAACAAUCCAUAUAAG